CGGCGCACGGGUGCGUAACGCGUAUGCAAUCUACCUUUCACAGAGGGAUAGCCCAGAGAAAUUUGGAUUAAUACCUCAUAGUAUAGCAGUUUCGCAUGAAACCACUAUUAAAGUCACAACGGUGAAAGAUGAGCAUGCGUCCCAUUAGCUAGUUGGUAAGGUAACGGCUUACCAAGGCAACGAUGGGUAGGGGUCCUGAGAGGGAGAUCCCCCACACUGGUACUGAGACACGGACCAGACUCCUACGGGAGGCAGCAGUGAGGAAUAUUGGACAAUGGGCGCAAGCCUGAUCCAGCCAUGCCGCGUGCAGGAUGACGGUCCUAUGGAUUGUAAACUGCUUUUAUACGAGAAGAAACCCUCCGACGUGUCGGAGCUUGACGGUAUCGUAAGAAUAAGGAUCGGCUAACUCCGUGCCAGCAGCCGCGGUAAUACGGAGGAUCCAAGCGUUAUCCGGAAUCAUUGGGUUUAAAGGGUCCGUAGGCGGUCAGGUAAGUCAGUGGUGAAAGCCCAUCGCUCAACGGUGGAACGGCCAUUGAUACUGUCUGACUUGAAUUAUUAGGAAGUAACUAGAAUAUGUAGUGUAGCGGUGAAAUGCUUAGAGAUUACAUGGAAUACCAAUUGCGAAGGCAGGUUACUACUAAUGGAUUGACGCUGAUGGAC
Molecule: ribosomal RNA, 660 nt
Filed under: Flavobacterium sp. B425_2
Lineage: Bacteria; Pseudomonadati; Bacteroidota; Flavobacteriia; Flavobacteriales; Flavobacteriaceae
Also listed under: 1 other name
Description: bacterial SSU rRNA
Rfam family: Bacterial small subunit ribosomal RNA
Source: RNAcentral